UACGGGGGGGGCAAGCGUUGUUCGGAAUUACUGGGCGUAAAGGGCUCGUAGGCGGCCAACUAAGUCAGACGUGAAAUCCCUCGGCUUAACCGGGGAACUGCGUCUGAUACUGGAUGGCUUGAGAUUGGGAGAGGGAUGCGGAAUUCCAGGUGUAGCGGUGAAAUGCGUAGAUAUCUGGAGGAACGCCGGUGGCGAAGGCGGCAUCCUGGACCAACACUGACACUGAGGCGCGAAAGCCAGGGGAGCAAACGGG
Molecule: ribosomal RNA, 253 nt
Filed under: uncultured bacterium
Lineage: Bacteria
Description: partial 16S ribosomal RNA
Rfam family: Bacterial small subunit ribosomal RNA
Source: RNAcentral